This is a non-coding RNA of Nicotiana tabacum (common tobacco), 1768 nucleotides long. The record is from RefSeq and is a predicted model, not a curated record. Lineage: Eukaryota; Viridiplantae; Streptophyta; Magnoliopsida; Solanales; Solanaceae.
AUAUGGUUAUUUCAAAAUUUCCUAUUUAGUUUUAGUUUUAUUUUCCACUUGGGAAAUUUGCCUUUGACUUAGAUCUGUAUUGGAUUUUGGAAGAGUUAGCCGGCCCUUUUAAUGGGCUCAUACACACUUAUUUAUAUUACAAGGUCAAAUCAAUGUGUUGUUCUGUUUGUAAACUUUAUGCUUCUUUUAUUUAUGUUUUCUAAUGAGCUGUCACCAAUUCUGAUAUAGGUGAACCGUUCAGGAAGGCUUGAGAAAGAUGUUCCGCAAUACUUCUUAAGUAUAGAGUUGAAUAAUAUGGAUGUUUCUCUGGAUGAGAUUCAAAUACAACAAAUCUUGAGCAUUUGUGACUAUUUGCUGACAUGUCAAUUGAGAGAGAAUAACAAAAAAGGGAUAAAAUCCCCAAGACAUAAUUUGUGCUCCACAACAAAGAAAAGCAGCAUGAUGCUUGGCGCAGUAUCCCCUCUAUUAGUAUUGAGCAGUGCUAACAUGGACUGGAAAAAGGAAAAGUGACGUGCUAUCAUUUGAAAGUUAAGUGCAACUAUUGGGUAAAGCAUGCAGCUGCGUAUAUGUAGUUUUUUUGUUUCGGCUUUUGACGACAUUGCCACAUGUUUUUUCCCCCUCUAUUUUUUGAGUUCGUACAGAGAUAAAUAUCUCCACUAAGCUUUACUUCCUCUUAUUUAUGUGCAAGAUAUAGGAAGUAAUGCUUCUCAUAAGAGGUGCUUCUUAGCUUGUCGCACUCCUUAAUGUUCCUUGUAUUGCAUGGCUUAGUAUUGGAAUAUCAACACGUGGUUCUGCCCUAAUCACAUCCAAUCAUCAAUGAAUCCGGAAACCACUUGUAUACAGUGGUUUUGCUCCAAUGUACCAAUGAAUACAUUUUCAAAUAUCUGCUUCCAAAUCCUCCCAAAAUUGCCUCUUGACCUCCUGGUCCAAUCCUACCUGGGGCCGUACGCGCUAACCACGUUUACAGUAAACCCUCCAACUACAAGCUUAAUACUCAUCAACCUAUCGUUUACCCUCCUAACCUCGACCACUAACUCCCUGAGUUCCCUGUCAACUAAAAUACCUUCCCUAUUCUUGUCCCCAACGCGUCUUGAGUACCACAAUUUAUACCCGUCUACCACAAUUUCUCUGAAAAAGUUCCUUUGUUGUUCUAACCCACACUAGCUUGUCCUCUUGUUCAGCAGUUCCCCUUAAAAUCUGUAGAAGACUGAAGAAUUCAGUCACCUGCGCACUUUCCAGUCACUCAGAUAUCUCUAAAGGUGAGAUCCCAGCUCUGUUGACUCCAAAUUUCAGCUAAAGUUGCAUCAGGUUGUUGUACUAAGCUGAAAAUAUCUGGAAAGAUCUCUUUGAGAGGGCCAUUCCCAAUCAAGUCAUCAUUCCAAAAGGAAGUCUUCAAGCCAUUUCCAACUUUAAUGCUGAUGUUACUUGCAAAAUCUUGACAAAGGGUUCUAAUUGAUUUCCAUACACUCACUCCAUAAGAAUUGGUAACAGAUCUUGUGCACCACUGCCCUUCUGUCCCCUUUUUGUCAUUUAUCACCUUUCUCCACAAAGCUUGGUCUUCAAAGGGAAUCCCAUUAAAUCAAUAGAGUCCUGUUGUGCUUUCUCAGGUUUCUAAUUCCCUAGCCCCCUUCCUUCUUACUGCAUGUGAGUGACUAUCUACGGUAGCAUCUCUACUCCUUAUUACCUUGCCAAAUGAAAUUCCUCCUCAGUGCAUCAAUUCUCAUUGGCAUGCCAUAAAGAGACGUUAUAUAUGUAGGAAGAGCAUUCA